AUGCCCGGCAGGUCCUGCCCGUUCCAGAAAGGGGGCCCGUGUCACGCUGCCCCCGAGCGGCAGCCCCUUCCGCGCCCCUCGGGAACGCCGGGCUGGGGCUCCACCGCGGCUGUGCGCUCGGGGGCUGCGUGCCGUCCCGCCGCCCGCGAGAGCCCUUCCCGCGCCGGGGCGCGCACGCAGAGGCCGAACCGAGCGGUGCCAAACCACUUUACUCCACGCCAGCAGCAAAGCAGCCGCACCGACCCCGUCCCCGGCGCCGCAGUGCCACAGCACCGCCUGCCCCGUGCCCACGAGAGCCGGCCCGGGUGCCGCGGUGGUGGCCGGCACCUGGCCCGGCUCCCGUCUGCCUCUCUACAGCAGCCACGUGUCCGAGUGCUGGGUGCAGUAGCAGGACUGGAGCAGCAGCGCGUCCAGCUCCUUGUACGGCUGCUCCCGCCAGUGAGGCAGCAGCGGCUGGUUGUUGAAGACGCGGAGGUUGGGGGUGCCGGCACGGAGCAGGCUGUAGAGGCAGCUCCAGCGGCUCUGCAGCGCCAGCCGCRUCCUCCGGUUCAGGAUAAUGCCGCGGACCGUCUUCUUGACCCGCAGGGCGCGCAGGGCGGGCAGGUCGAGGCGGCAGAACACCAGCCCCCGGCUCUGCGACACGUCCAGGUACUCCAGGGAGCGCGACUCCAGGGCGUAGGACAUGCCCAGGUCCUUGACGGGCACCAGCACGUGGAGGACGAGCGUCUUGAGGCGAGGCAGCGCCCGGGUGAGCUCCCGCAUGAUCUCGGGACAGACGCCCUUGAAGCUCCAGAAGUACUUGAGCUCGAGGGUGUGGAGGUGCUGGAAGCGGGUGAGCGUGGCCACGGAGCGCGCCGACCAGUCGAAGGGCAGCUUGGCGCGCGCCAGCCCCGGCGCCUUCCCCAGCAGCUUCUCCAGCAGCGCCUGGAAGCGGCUCACCUGGUCCAUCUUGGCCAGGCUCACCUGGGCCAUGCUGCAGGCGCCGGGCGGGUGGACGUCGGGCGGCUCCAGGUGGGUGAGCGUCCAGUUGAGCUCCAGCUCGCGCAGCUCCCCGCAGUGCACGCUGUCGAGGAAGCGCGAGAGGAACUCGGCCCACUUGGCGUCGUGGUCGCCCAGGUCGAAGCUGGCGCGCAGCAGGCGGGGGCUGGCGCGCCGCGACGCCAGGUGGAAGGCGUAGCGGUGCACCCAGGCCUUCCAGCGCUCAAACUCCCCGGCGGACACCAGCACCACGUCCACGCCUGGCUGCAGCGCCCCGAGCCGCGUGAAGUCGGCCACCCGCCAGAGCCGCGCCGUGCGGAUCAGGCGGCUCCAGGCGCCGCACACCAGCGCCGCCGUGCACUUCUCCACCUCCGAGAGGAAGGAGAAGACGUGGAGCUGGCAGUCCUCGGGCAGGCGGCUGAAGGGGAAGUGAACCGGAGCCGGGGCUYGGCGGUGCGGGCGGGCGCAGGCCCGGUGCCGCGAGCUGGCCCCGGCCUUGGCGGCAGAGCAGCACGGCGGCGUGGUGGCGAGGUCUCGCCGGCUGCGCUUCCUCUUCGGAGGCAUCGCGGCUGCGCCCCGCCGGGCGUCAGCGGCGCUCGGCCGGGUGCCCGGGGCAGCGGGCACCUGUGGGGACACGCGACCCCUCGCUCGCCGCACGGGGACCGAUGGAGGGUUUCCGGGCUUCGUCAUGGGACGCCGCUGCGCUCGAGCCCCGCGGCCCCCAGCGAACGGUCGCGGCCCCCUAAAACCCUUCCCGGCAUCGCAAGCCGU
Long non-coding RNA from Apteryx haastii (Great spotted kiwi), 1749 nucleotides. Lineage: Eukaryota; Metazoa; Chordata; Aves; Apterygiformes; Apterygidae. The record is from Ensembl.